CAUGCACGUCUAAGUACAAACUAAAUGAUGGUGAAACUGCAAAUGGCUCAUUACAACGGUUAUGAUGUACCCGGGAGUUCCGAUGGAUAUUUCCAGUAACACUAGAACUAAUACAUGCUCCUGCGUUUAUUAGUUUCGCACAGUCCGUCGCUGAGUCAUGGUAAACAGUUGAUCGACUCGACGUCCCGGAACAGUUUCCGCCCCAUCAGCUUCGAUGGUUGGGUAUUGGCCUACCAUUGCAACAACGGGUAACGAGGAAUUAGGGUUUGAUUUCGGAGAGGGAGCCUGAGAAACGGCUACCACAUCUACGGAUGGCAGCAGGCGCGCAAAUUACCCAAUGCAGACUCUGUGAGGUAGUGACGAGAAAUAAUAAAGCGGGACUUCUGUUUCGCUAUUAUAAUGAGGAAUAACCAAAGGUCAUUCCGAUUAGCAACUGAUGGGAAAGUCUGGUGCCAGCAGCCGCGGUAAUACCAGCGUCAGUAGCAUAUAUUAAAAUUGUUGCAGUUAAAACGUCCGUAGUCUGUACGUCGUCCCAAACUCACUGCAGUCUUCCGUUUUCUUCAUUGAAUGCGGUAGUUUCUACAGUCACUCCCUUGAUCAAAUUAGGUUGUUCAAGGUAGACCAAGUCUUCAUAUUUUCACAUGGAAUUGGGUGAGGGAACUUAAGAGUUUAAGUUUCUCGUCUUAGGAUCAUCCGGGGUCAUUCGUACUCGUCCGCGAGAGGUGAAAUUCUUGGAC
This 737-nucleotide ribosomal RNA is filed under the name uncultured alveolate. RNAcentral's name for it is "bacterial SSU rRNA". It matches the Rfam family "Eukaryotic small subunit ribosomal RNA", at positions 50 to 925 of the family's 1831-position model. The record is from RNAcentral.